Molecule: ribosomal RNA, 542 nt
Filed under: uncultured bacterium
Lineage: Bacteria
Description: bacterial SSU rRNA
Rfam family: Bacterial small subunit ribosomal RNA
Source: RNAcentral
GGAAUUUUCCGCAAUGGGCGAAAGCCUGACGGAGCAACGCCGCGUGAGGGAUGAAGGCCUCUGGGCUGUAAAUCUCUUUUAUCAAGGAAGAAGAUCUGACAGUACUUGAUGAAUAAGCCACGGCUAAUUCCGUGCCAGCAGCCGCGGUUAUACGGGAGUGGCAAGCGUUAUCCGGAAUUAUUGGGCGUAAAGCGUCCGCAGGCGGCCCUACAAGUCUGCUGUUAAAAAGUGGAGCUUAACUCCAUCAUGGCAGUGGAAACUGUUGGGCUCGAGUGUGGUAGGGGCAGAGGGAAUUCCCGGUGUAGCGAUGAAAUGCGUAGAUAUCGGGAAGAACACCAGUGGCGAAGGCGCUCUGCUGGGCCAUCACUGACGCUCAUGGACGAAAGCCAGGGGAGCGAAAGGGAUUAGAUACCCCUGUAGUCCUGGCCGUAAACGAUGAACACUAGGUGUCGGGGGAAUCGACCCCUCCGGUGUCGUAGCCAACGCGUUAAGUGUUCCGCCUGGGGAGUACGCACGCAAGUGUGAAACUCAAAGGAAUUGAC